This 487-nucleotide ribosomal RNA is filed under the name uncultured Clostridiaceae bacterium. RNAcentral describes it as "partial 16S ribosomal RNA". The record is from RNAcentral. Lineage: Bacteria; Bacillati; Bacillota; Clostridia; Eubacteriales; Clostridiaceae.
CACGUAGUUAGCCGUGGCUUCCUCCUUGGGUACCGUCAUUAUCGUCCCCAAAGACGAGAGCUUUACAACCCGAAGGCCUUCAUCACUCACGCGGCGUUGCUGCAUCAGGGUUUCCCCCAUUGUGCAAUAUUCCCCACUGCUGCCUCCCGUAGGAGUCUGGGCCGUGUCUCAGUCCCAAUGUGGCCGAUCACCCUCUCAGGUCGGCUACGCAUCGUCGCCUUGGUGAGCCGUUACCUCACCAACUAGCUAAUGCGCCGCGGGUCCAUCUUAUAGCGGAUUGCUCCUUUGGUUAUCGAUCCAUGCGAAUCAACAACUUUAUGCGGUAUUAAUCUUCCUUUCGGAAGGUCUACUCCCCCUCUAUAAGGCAGGUUACCCACGUGUUACUCACCCGUCCGCCGCUAAUCCGUUCCCGAAGGAACUUCAUCGCUCGACUUGCAUGUGUUAGGCACGCCGCCAGCGUCGUCCGUGAGCCAGGACUCGAAACUAC